RNAcentral lists this ribosomal RNA (482 nucleotides) under uncultured bacterium. Its description in RNAcentral is "bacterial SSU rRNA". It matches the Rfam family "Bacterial small subunit ribosomal RNA", at positions 15 to 507 of the family's 1533-position model. The record is from RNAcentral.
GAUCAUGGCUCAGAGUGAACGCUGGCGGCGUGCUUUAACACAUGCAAGUCGAACGAGAACGGAUUAUAGCUUGCUAUAAUUGUCAGCUAAGUGGCGCACGGGUGAGUAAUGUAUAGGUAAUAUGCCUCUUACUAAGGGAUAACAAAUGGAAACGUUUGCUAAUACCUUAUACUCCUUAUUAACAGAAGUUAAUAAGGGAAAGAUUUAUUGGUAAGAGAUUAGCCUGUAUUGUAUCAGUUAGUUGGUGGGGUAAUGGCUUACCAAGACUAUGACACAUAACUGGUUUGAGAGGAUGAUCAGUCACACUGGAACUGAGACACGGUCCAGACUCCUACGGGAGGCAGCAGUGGGGAAUAUUGCACAAUGGACGAAAGUCUGAUGCAGCAACGCCGCGUGGAGGAUGACACAUUUCGGUGCGUAAACUCCUUUUAUAUGAGAAGAUAAUGACGGUAUUAUAUGAAUAAGCACCGGCUAACUCCGUG